Molecule: ribosomal RNA, 254 nt
Filed under: uncultured bacterium
Lineage: Bacteria
Description: partial 16S ribosomal RNA
Rfam family: Bacterial small subunit ribosomal RNA
Source: RNAcentral
UACGAAGGGUGCAAACGUUGCUCGGAAUCAUUGGGCGUAAAGCGCGUGUAGGCGGCCCGGUAAGUCCGCUGUGAAAGUCCAGGGCUCAACCCUGGGAUGCCGGUGGAUACUGUCGGGCUCGAGUCCGGAAGAGGCGAGUGGAAUUCCUGGUGUAGCGGUGGAAAUGCGCAGAUAUCAGGAGGAACACCAAUGGCGAAGGCAGCUCGCUGGGACGUGACUGACGCUGAGACGCGAAAGCUAGGGGAGCAAACGGG